AGUGACAUAGCUCCAAUAGGUUAGAGCGUCUGGUUCAUAUCCGGAUGGCUGUAGGUUCAAGUCCUACUGUCACUACCA
Molecule: transfer RNA, 78 nt
Filed under: Vibrio phage 70E38.1
Lineage: Duplodnaviria; Heunggongvirae; Uroviricota; Caudoviricetes; Demerecviridae
Also listed under: 256 other names
Description: tRNA-Met
Rfam family: tRNA
About the family: Transfer RNA (tRNA) molecules are approximately 80 nucleotides in length.
Source: RNAcentral